UUAACUAUUAUAUAGUACUCAGACGACACUAAUAUUCAGAGUUUGGGGUCCUCUGGCGGGCGCUUACCAGCCGGAGCCGGUAGCCUGACCGAGGCCGAGACGGCCCGCCAAAGCAACAAAGGUAAUGAUAACAUAGGGUGGGAAUUCUACCCGUUUAAGGGGAACUCGUUAAUGAUCCCUCCGCAGGUUCGCCUACGGAGA
Molecule: unclassified non-coding RNA, 201 nt
Filed under: uncultured fungus
Lineage: Eukaryota; Fungi
Description: sequence contains ITS1, 5.8S rRNA gene
Source: RNAcentral